AUUAUUUAAGAGCUUAACAUUGUAAGUAAAUAAUAAUUAUGAAAGCAAAAAAUUAUGGCGGUAUUUUAAGCUUUUCAGAGGAAUUUGCUCUUUAAUGGAUAAAACACCAAAAUCUUACUUAGAUUUGUGAUUUCAAUUUGUAUACCACUAUUAAAACAAUUUAUAACUUUAAUUGUUUAAAUUUACAAAACUAAAAUAUAUUAAGUCAAGGUGCAGUAAAAAUUUAAGGAUGAAGUGAAUUACAUUACUUUUUAGUGAGAUAAGUUUAUAACAAUAUUUAGGAU
Molecule: ribosomal RNA, 284 nt
Filed under: Rhipicephalus sanguineus complex sp. ME-2010
Lineage: Eukaryota; Metazoa; Arthropoda; Arachnida; Ixodida; Ixodidae
Also listed under: 1 other name
Description: partial 12S small ribosomal RNA
Source: RNAcentral